RNAcentral lists this ribosomal RNA (1008 nucleotides) under Bacillus velezensis. RNAcentral describes it as "bacterial SSU rRNA". It matches the Rfam family "Bacterial small subunit ribosomal RNA", at positions 49 to 1038 of the family's 1533-position model. The record is from RNAcentral. Lineage: Bacteria; Bacillati; Bacillota; Bacilli; Caryophanales; Bacillaceae.
UAGUACAUGCAGUCGAGCGGACAGAUGGGAGCUUGCUCCCUGAUGUUAGCGGCGGACGGGUGAGUAACACGUGGGUAACCUGCCUGUAAGACUGGGAUAACUCCGGGAAACCGGGGCUAAUACCGGAUGGUUGUCUGAACCGCAUGGUUCAGACAUAAAAGGUGGCUUCGGCUACCACUUACAGAUGGACCCGCGGCGCAUUAGCUAGUUGGUGAGGUAACGGCUCACCAAGGCGACGAUGCGUAGCCGACCUGAGAGGGUGAUCGGCCACACUGGGACUGAGACACGGCCCAGACUCCUACGGGAGGCAGCAGUAGGGAAUCUUCCGCAAUGGACGAAAGUCUGACGGAGCAACGCCGCGUGAGUGAUGAAGGUUUUCGGAUCGUAAAGCUCUGUUGUUAGGGAAGAACAAGUGCCGUUCAAAUAGGGCGGCACCUUGACGGUACCUAACCAGAAAGCCACGGCUAACUACGUGCCAGCAGCCGCGGUAAUACGUAGGUGGCAAGCGUUGUCCGGAAUUAUUGGGCGUAAAGGGCUCGCAGGCGGUUUCUUAAGUCUGAUGUGAAAGCCCCCGGCUCAACCGGGGAGGGUCAUUGGAAACUGGGGAACUUGAGUGCAGAAGAGGAGAGUGGAAUUCCACGUGUAGCGGUGAAAUGCGUAGAGAUGUGGAGGAACACCAGUGGCGAAGGCGACUCUCUGGUCUGUAACUGACGCUGAGGAGCGAAAGCGUGGGGAGCGAACAGGAUUAGAUACCCUGGUAGUCCACGCCGUAAACGAUGAGUGCUAAGUGUUAGGGGGUUUCCGCCCCUUAGUGCUGCAGCUAACGCAUUAAGCACUCCGCCUGGGGAGUACGGUCGCAAGACUGAAACUCAAAGGAAUUGACGGGGGCCCGCACAAGCGGUGGAGCAUGUGGUUUAAUUCGAAGCAACGCGAAGAACCUUACCAGGUCUUGACAUCCUCUGACAAUCUUAGAGAUAGGAACCUCCCCUUCGGGGGCAAAGUGACAGG